CAGUAGCCACGGGAAUACGUAGGUGGCAAGCGUUGUCCGGAGUUAUUGGGCGUAAAGGGCUCGCAGGCGGUUUCUUAAGUCUGAUGUGAAAGCCCCCGGCUCAACCGGGGAGGGUCAUAGGAAACUGGGAAACUUGAGUGCAGAAGAGGAGAGUGGAAUUCCACGUGUAGUGGUGAAAUGCGUAGAGAUGUGGAGGAACACCAGUGGCGAAGGCGACUCUCUGGUCUGUAACUGACGCUGAGGAGCGAAAGCGUGGGGAGCGGACAGGAUUAGAUACCCCGUAGUCCCUGUCUCUUAUACA
RNAcentral lists this ribosomal RNA (301 nucleotides) under uncultured bacterium. RNAcentral's name for it is "partial 16S ribosomal RNA". It matches the Rfam family "Bacterial small subunit ribosomal RNA", at positions 509 to 808 of the family's 1533-position model. The record is from RNAcentral.